UACGUAGGGACCAAGCGUCGUUCGGAUUUACUGGGCGUAAAGGGCGCGUAGGCGGCUUAACAAGUCACUUGUGAAAUCUCCGGGCUUAACUCGGAACGGCCAAGUGAAACUGUCAAGCUAGAGUGCAGAAGGGGCAAUCGGAAUUCUUGGUGUAGCGGUGAAAUGCGUAGAUAUCAAGAGGAACACCUGAGGUGAAGACGGGUUGCUGGGCUGACACUGACGCUGAGGCGCGAAAGCCAGGGGAGCAAACGGG
This 253-nucleotide ribosomal RNA is filed under the name uncultured bacterium. RNAcentral's name for it is "partial 16S ribosomal RNA". It matches the Rfam family "Bacterial small subunit ribosomal RNA", at positions 524 to 776 of the family's 1533-position model. The record is from RNAcentral.